Molecule: ribosomal RNA, 403 nt
Filed under: uncultured bacterium
Lineage: Bacteria
Description: bacterial SSU rRNA
Rfam family: Bacterial small subunit ribosomal RNA
Source: RNAcentral
GGGGAAUAUUGGGCAAUGGGCGCAAGCCUGACCCAGCAACGCCGCGUGAAGGAAGAAGGCUUUCGGGUUGUAAACUUCUUUUACCAGGGACGAAACAAAUGACGGUACCUGGUGAAUAAGCCACGGCUAACUACGUGCCAGCAGCCGCGGUAAUACGUAGGUGGCGAGCGUUAUCCGGAUUUAUUGGGUGUAAAGGGCGUGUAGGCGGGACAGCAAGUCAGAUGUGAAAACCAGAGGCUCAACCUCUGGCCUGCAUUUGAAACUGUUGUUCUUGAGUGUCGGAGAGGUAAUCGGAAUUCCGUGUGUAGCGGUGAAAUGCGUAGAUAUACGGAGGAACACCAGUGGCGAAGGCGGAUUACUGGACGAUAACUGACGCUGAGGCGCGAAAGCGUGGGGAGCAAAC